Non-coding RNA from Hysterangium stoloniferum, 101 nucleotides. The record is from the annotation of a GenBank genome assembly. Lineage: Eukaryota; Fungi; Basidiomycota; Agaricomycetes; Hysterangiales; Hysterangiaceae.
GCUUCCUUGGCUCAGUUGGUAGAGCGUCAGUCUCAUAUUACAUAUGAUGCUGAGAUUCGGCAAUAAUCUGAAGGUCGCCAGUUCGAGCCUGGCAGGGAGCA